Long non-coding RNA from Numida meleagris (helmeted guineafowl), 413 nucleotides. RefSeq lists it as uncharacterized. The record is from RefSeq and is a predicted model, not a curated record. NCBI's taxonomy places the organism in Eukaryota, Metazoa, Chordata, Aves, Galliformes, Numididae. The transcript has 4 exons.
ACAUCGGAAAAUUAGUACUUAUUUAUUAACAAAUGAGCUUACUUCCACGCAUGCAUAUGGCAUCUAUAAAAUUCUGGUCACAGAGGCGACAACAUUUGGAUGUUUCAUUUUAGACAAAAGAAUUGCUUCCUUCCUAGAGUUCUCUACAUCAGAUGAAGACUGAAAAUAGCUAUGCAACAACAAAUGAGCACACGCUGACUUUGGAACAGCUGACAACUGGACUGCACAAACUCAGUAUAAAACCAAGUGCCGAAGUAUUAGCUUCAACCUCAAGAAAGCCAGAGCCUCCCAUUUUGUGAUUUUUUUAAUUAGCUACAUGCAGUGCAGGAUCACCUUCUGAAGCCGAGGCCCCGAAGCCGCUUCCCGCGGCAGCAGGGCUCCCACCAGACCUCCCCCAGAGCGGCGAGCAGCAG